Long non-coding RNA from Coffea eugenioides, 542 nucleotides. RefSeq lists it as uncharacterized. The transcript has 3 exons. The record is from RefSeq and is a predicted model, not a curated record. NCBI's taxonomy places the organism in Eukaryota, Viridiplantae, Streptophyta, Magnoliopsida, Gentianales, Rubiaceae.
GAUGUAUUUCUAUUGGGAGAUACGGGAGACAGUGAUGAAGGCCCAGAUGAUGGAGAUGAUGGCUUUGAUGAUGAUUUUGACAAGAUAUAGAUUGGAGUACGUAAAAGAAUGACUCUGGAAGGGCAAAAAAGUUUUACAAAGAGAUCAGAGUUAAAUCACAGAGUUGUCUUGAAGAAAGGGAUAUCUGCAUGAAGUUGGUAUUCAAGUUGCAUCAAAGUGGCCAGUAGUUGUGAACUAUAUCUUCUCCCCUGUUUAUAAAUUCUGUGUUUUCAAUUGCUCAUUGUUUCAAAUGUAUGUUGCUUUUUCUUUUGCCGCCUGCCUUGGGAAGGGGGAGAGAGAGGAGAAUGCGCGGAGAGCUGGUGGAGCUGGGGUCGGGGAGAUUGUGGAGCUGGACGGUUGGUGUAACUGGCUUGCAUUUGGUGCUGUAAAUUUUGGUUAAUUUUUAUAUCUGCCACCUUUCACAUUGUUGUAUUUAUUUCUCCUUAUUAACUCCAAUUAUUACAGACAUUUUCUGUUAAGGGUGGAUUAUUGCUUCUAUAGUA